This is a small nuclear RNA of Pteropus vampyrus (large flying fox), 107 nucleotides long. The record is from Ensembl. NCBI's taxonomy places the organism in Eukaryota, Metazoa, Chordata, Mammalia, Chiroptera, Pteropodidae.
AUGCUUGCUUUGGUAGCACCUAUACUAAAAUUGGAACGAUACUGAUAAGAUUAGCAUGGCCCCUGCACAAGGAUGACACGCAUAUUCGUGAAGCGUUUCAUAUUUUU